AGUAUGGAUUCCCGGGCACUGCCUCACCCACUGCUUCGGUAAAAAAAGCUGUUUCGGAGGCAGCGCCCGCCUAAAAAAAAAAAAAAAAAAAAAAAAGUUUGUACUCUAACCCCACUAAACAGGACGUGCGGAGUCGAAUGCACUCACUCCUGAACUGAUAGCUCUAACCGUUCCAGAGAUAGCUUUCCCAAAACCUUGCUAAUUACUUACUAAUCACCACCUUAUCAGUUACUAUUUCCUGCACGAAAUCCCCACUCAUUAUCUAAUUACUUAAUGACUCAGUACGAAUGCAUCGUUAUCUACUUUCCUACAUUCACUAACCCGAUCUAUGGCUCUAAAAGAAAAAUAGAAUAAUAUAAUAUAAUAAACUAUAUCUAACCUAACCUAACCUACGGGUCUAAGCAAACAACAAUAAAUAUACCUACAUUAACACCAUUAUCUAUAAUAAAAUUAGAUGUAAGGGUUACAUAUUUAAAUAAAACAUUUUUAUUCCAGGUAUUAUUCUUUUAUUUAUAUGUCCAUUAUAUUUCUAUACAAAUUUACUAGCACCGUAUCAUUGUUCUCUGAGUCACACGUAAAAUUUCUAAGGAAGUCUUCUAAUCUCAUCCCCCUGAACUUGUAAUAUAUGUAUACCAAACAGUACUCUCCGCACACCGCCGAUAGGUAAUCCUGAACCGUAAGGUUAUUGUAUCUCCACAUGCAACAAUUCCUCCUUAAAAAUCCUUCUAUUGCUUCAAUAGGUUUACGUCCAAACGAAUCAAAGUAUUCCCCAACUCUUUCGACGUUUAUAUGAAUAGCCACCCAAUGAGACCCCGGCUGUGAAUCAGGGUCAAGAUUGCAUAUGAUAAGUGCUGGCACCUGAGCAUACAUCGGCAAUCGAUUUGAAGGAUAUACGUUGCUCUGGAGGCUGGGAUGUAUUCUACGAAGACUCAUUUGCACUUCUAGUGUGUUCAUACUUUAAUACGCGUUUACUCCCCUACUCUUUCACUCUUUUACUGACUACAUUUAUUACUAUCAAUUCAUAUUUAUACCAAUGUAUUUAAACACACAUAAUAUGAUCUCAACAUAAGUAAUGAGUCUCUUUGUAAAAAAAGUAAUGAAGGUAAAUAAAAACCAUGUCAUAUUCGAUUACAUUAUAUUUUAUUAUUCUUAAUAUCAUAAUAAUUACAUAAGUGAUUGCUUAACUACUAUAAUCCACACAUACAUUUCUGUUCUUAUCUAUUUCUAUAAUAUUUGAAAACUCUGCGUAAACUACACAGUUAAUUGUUUCAGUCAAUGCGCUCUCGAAUCUUACUUCCAUUCUUACACUACCAUGGCGUACAAGAUUCCAAUGCACAUUAGAGUUAGCCGACAAGUCAGGUGUUAAAUCAAAAGCUAGUAAACAGUAUCCAUUUGAAUAUUGUUCCCUCGAUAUUCCAUUACCUUCGUUAAGAAAAUGUAUACCGGUGCCUGAGUACAGGGUGUGGUAUGCGCUAGUAAAUACAUCGUUUGGAAAUGAUGGUUGUAACGAUUUUGAAGGUAUCUGUUGACCAUCUAUAUAUAGGCUAAAUGAGCAAAUACCAAAAUUUUCAAAGUUGAAAGGAUUUUUAACAUAACUACCGUUGAAUGCUGUAUUAUUCACAAAACCUAUAAUACAUCUCUUAGGAACCUGUCCUAUAAUAUACUUCAAAAGUAAUGAAGGUUAAUAAAAACCUGAUAAGGUUAUUCGUUUAUAUUUUCAUAUUCGUAAAUAUAUUUUAUUGUUCUUAAUAUUAUAAUAAUUAUACGUAUAUGUGGUUGCUAAACUACUAGAUACACACAUUUCUGUUAUUAUCUAUUUCAAAAAUAUUUAAAAAAUGCAAUGACUAUUAAGAUUGCAAAGGGUAUUUAGAGUGCCCUUUGUAUUUCUUAUCCACAUUUUACUGAUAGGUAUGGAUACUUGUUCAAACAUGCAGUCGAGUUGAAUAUCGUAACUAGAUAAUGAUAUCCAUUACCAGUCUAUAUAACCCGAUACUUGUAGAAAGAUUUAGUAUUGUGCUCUAAGUUCGACAAAAGUGAAGUGGUUGAAAGUUUGAAAUAAUAAACAACAAUGGAGUCUUCAUACAACCUGAAAGAUGUGGAUAAAUGUUUCAGACCAUAUAAUUAUUAUAAUUUAUCUGAUGAUGAAGAAGAGGUUUUAAACAUAACAGAAAAUAAAAAUAAGAAGACCAAUCGUUUAGAUGACUUUUUUCUUCAAGAACCUGACCGGAAGAAGAAAAAAACUAAACUUUCUUCAAGUGUUGGCCGUGCAGGGAAGGAGGGAAGCAUUUCAUAUAUAUCGACUGAUAAAGAUGAUGGAAUGGACGCUGACAUACUUGUUAAAAUGGAAUUAUAUAGUUUAAAAAAGUUGAAAGAAAUCCCAGUGGCACAACAUUGGAAAAAUGCAGAUAUUCGUGUUAAAUAUUAUAUGAAAAACGAUUCCAACAUUGAUGUUCAGAUAAAGGAUAUUGUAUACAACAUAACAAAGGGGAUAUCCGAGGAAGAUAGUGUAAAACGUUACAGUUUUAAAAAUUAGUUUCAUUUAGUUUCUUCAUGCUUCAGAUUUUAAUACCAUAUGUUUAUAUAAUUAAGUAAUGUUUCAGUUUUCCAUUAGUAUAAAUACUAUGUUGCAUUGUACAAAGUCAAUCAUUGUGCUUUUUGUUGAAGACCUUUGCGCAUUAAGGUUAAAAGUGUGAGACAAAAAACAGUUGUGAAACAAAUACAUAUAUACAAUGUCUCAAGAAUGUGUUAGUGUUUUUUUUGAUGAAAUGGAUCAUGAAUUUGAAAGCUUAUCCAUUGAUACAAUUGAACUUUUCAACGUUUGUGAUGAAAUAGAAAGAAAUGAUUUAAAUCACCCAUUUUAUGAUCAAAGAAUGAUGGUGCUAUGUGAUGAAUUCGAUGGGAAACUGGUUGAUCAAAUGGGUCGUGGAACUAAAAGGAAAGCAGCUGUUGAUAUUAACUCUGCUGACAUCAAAAGAAUAAAAUCUGGAUCGAACAUGGAUCUUUCACGGUCUUCACAAGAGCAAUCAACAUCGAAUGAAGGUAAUAAUUUUAACAUGAAAUUUUGCUGUAUUUGUAAUAGAAAUGUUUCCAAAAAAUAUUUCGCUAAUCAUCUAAGGAGCAAUGCACAUAAAAAUAAUGUAAAUAAAAAACAACAUUCAAUAAAACCCAAUGUUAAGAUAAUUGAGACUGCGUUCGGUAAUAGAAUAAUAACCUAUAGAGUAACUUCAGAAAAUCAAAAUGAUUUACAGUUUGAGACACCAGAGUUAUUUCUUGCAUCUGUCAAAGAUACAAUAUUUACAAUAAUAAAUAAAUCUAUAGAAGAUCAUACAAUUUUAAAAAUAAAUUUCAUUUUAUAUGGUGACUUUGUUCAGGAGACAAAAAACAUUAACAACACUUUUGAUUUCCAAUCAAUGAAUUUUAUUGUUUGUAUUGGUGAUGAUUUAAAUAUAUUUUAUACAACUCUCACGAAAUCUCU
Pieris napi is the source of this 3475-nucleotide long non-coding RNA. RefSeq lists it as uncharacterized. Lineage: Eukaryota; Metazoa; Arthropoda; Insecta; Lepidoptera; Pieridae. The record is from RefSeq and is a predicted model, not a curated record. The transcript has 3 exons.